This 531-nucleotide ribosomal RNA is filed under the name Alternaria alternata. RNAcentral's name for it is "eukaryotic LSU rRNA". The stretch from base 155 to 308 matches the Rfam family "5.8S ribosomal RNA". The record is from RNAcentral. Lineage: Eukaryota; Fungi; Ascomycota; Dothideomycetes; Pleosporales; Pleosporaceae.
GAGGCGGGCUGGACCUCUCGGGGUUACAGCCUUGCUGAAUUAUUCACCCUUGUCUUUUGCGUACUUCUUGUUUCCUUGGUGGGUUCGCCCACCACUAGGACAAACAUAAACCUUUUGUAAUUGCAAUCAGCGUCAGUAACAAAUUAAUAAUUACAACUUUCAACAACGGAUCUCUUGGUUCUGGCAUCGAUGAAGAACGCAGCGAAAUGCGAUAAGUAGUGUGAAUUGCAGAAUUCAGUGAAUCAUCGAAUCUUUGAACGCACAUUGCGCCCUUUGGUAUUCCAAAGGGCAUGCCUGUUCGAGCGUCAUUUGUACCCUCAAGCUUUGCUUGGUGUUGGGCGUCUUGUCUCUAGCUUUGCUGGAGACUCGCCUUAAAGUAAUUGGCAGCCGGCCUACUGGUUUCGGAGCGCAGCACAAGUCGCACUCUCUAUCAGCAAAGGUCUAGCAUCCAUUAAGCCUUUUUUUCAACUUUUGACCUCGGAUCAGGUAGGGAUACCCGCUGAACUUAAGCAUAUCAAUAAGCGGAGGAAA